GACGAACGCUGGCGGCGUGCUUAACACAUGCAAGUCGAACGGAAAGGCCCUGCUUUUGUGGGGUGCUCGAGUGGCGAACGGGUGAGUAACACGUGAGUAACCUGCCCUUGACUUUGGGAUAACUUCAGGAAACUGGGGCUAAUACCGGAUAGGAGCUCCUGCUGCAUGGUGGGGGUUGGAAAGUUUCGGCGGUUGGGGAUGGACGCGCGGCUUAUCAGCUUGUUGGUGGGGUAGUGGCUUACCAAGGCUUUGACGGGUAGCCGGCCUGAGAGGGUGACCGGCCACAUUGGGACUGAGAUACGGCCCAGACUCCUACGGGAGGCAGCGGUGGGGAAUAUUGCACAAUGGGCGGAAGCCUGAUGCAGCAACGCCGCGUGCGGGAUGACGGCCUUCGGGGUGUAAACCGCUUUCGCCUGUGACGAAGCGUGAGUGACGGUAAUGGGUAAAGAAGCACCGGCUAACUACGUG
This 468-nucleotide ribosomal RNA is filed under the name uncultured bacterium. RNAcentral describes it as "partial 16S ribosomal RNA". It matches the Rfam family "Bacterial small subunit ribosomal RNA", at positions 28 to 507 of the family's 1533-position model. The record is from RNAcentral.